CUACGGGUGGCUGCAGUGGGGAAUAUUGGACAAUGGGGGAAACCCUGAUCCAGCAAUACCGCGUGUGUGAAGAAGGCCCGCGGGUUGUAAAGCACUUUCAGUAGGGAGGACUGGUUUUAGGAUUAAUACUCGUGGAACUUGACGUUACCUUCAGAAGAAGCACCGGCUAACUCGGUGCCAGCAGCCGCGGUAAUACGGAGGGUGCAAGCGUUAAUCGGAAUUACUGGGCGUAAAGCGCGCGUAGGUGGUUAGAUCAGUUGGGUGUGAAAGCCCCGGGCUUAACCUGGGAAUUGCAUCCGAUACUGUCUGGCUAGAGUAUAGGAGAGGGGAGUGGAAUUCCGCAUGUAGCGGUGAAAUGCGUAGAGAUGCGGAGGAACACCACUGGCGAAGGCGGCUCUCUGGUCAGAUACUGACACUGGGGUGCGAAAGCGUGGGGAGCAAACAGGAUUAGAUACCCGAGUAGUC
RNAcentral lists this ribosomal RNA (465 nucleotides) under uncultured bacterium. RNAcentral describes it as "partial 16S ribosomal RNA". It matches the Rfam family "Bacterial small subunit ribosomal RNA", at positions 339 to 795 of the family's 1533-position model. The record is from RNAcentral.